RNAcentral lists this ribosomal RNA (633 nucleotides) under uncultured bacterium. Its description in RNAcentral is "bacterial SSU rRNA". It matches the Rfam family "Bacterial small subunit ribosomal RNA", at positions 25 to 651 of the family's 1533-position model. The record is from RNAcentral.
CAGGACGAACGCUGGCGGCGUGCUUAAUACAUGCAAGUCGAGCGAGGUUACUGUUUUGGAUCCCUUCGGGGUGAAGAAGCUUUAACCUAGCGGCGGACGGGUGAGUAACGCGUGGGUAACCUACCCCAAAGUCCGGGAUAACAGCGGGAAACCGCUGCUAAUACCGGAUGCCUUUACCUUGGGGCAUCUUGAGGUAAAGAAAGGCAACGCUUUGGGAUGGGCCCGCGUCCCAUUAGCUAGUUGGUGAGGUAGCGGCUCACCAAGGCGACGAUGGGUAGCCGGUCUGAGAGGGUGGACGGCCACACUGGGACUGAGACACGGCCCAGACUCCUACGGGAGGCAGCAGUAGGGAAUAUUGCGCAAUGGACGGAAGUCUGACGCAGCGACGCCGCGUGAGCGAUGAAGGUCUUCGGAUCGUAAAGCUCUGUCCUUGGGGAAGAAGGCGAAAGCUUGACGGUACCCAAGAAGAAAGCCCCGGCUAACUACGUGCCAGCAGCCGCGGUAAUACGUAGGGGGCGAGCGUUGUCCGGAAUUACUGGGCGUAAAGGGUGCGUAGGCGGCCCUUUAAGUCGGAUGUGAAAGCCCGCGGCUUAACCGCGGAAUGGCAUUCGAAACUGGAGGGCUUGAGUGUCG